GUCCCGGUGCGCAAUGGAUAGCGCGUCGGACUUCUAAUCGAGGUUGUGGGUUCGAGUCCCAUCCGGAGCG
This 70-nucleotide transfer RNA is filed under the name Fasciola gigantica. It matches the Rfam family "tRNA". Rfam says of the family: Transfer RNA (tRNA) molecules are approximately 80 nucleotides in length. Their secondary structure includes four short double-helical elements and three loops (D, anti-codon, and T loops). Further hydrogen bonds mediate the characteristic L-shaped molecular structure. tRNAs have two regions of fundamental functional importance: the anti-codon, which is responsible for specific mRNA codon recognition, and the 3' end, to which the tRNAs corresponding amino acid is attached (by aminoacyl-tRNA synthetases). tRNAs cope with the degeneracy of the genetic code in two manners: having more than one tRNA (with a specific anti-codon) for a particular amino acid; and 'wobble' base-pairing, i.e. permitting non-standard base-pairing at the 3rd anti-codon position. The record is from Rfam by way of RNAcentral. Lineage: Eukaryota; Metazoa; Platyhelminthes; Trematoda; Plagiorchiida; Fasciolidae.